UACAGAGGGUGCAAACGUUGCUCGGAUUUACUGGGCGUAAAGCGCGUGUAGGCGGACUCGCAAGUCGGUUGUGAAAUCCCUGGGCUCAACCUAGGAACUGCAUCCGAAACUGCUUGUCUUGAGUAAUGGAGAGGGUGGCGGAAUUCCCGGUGUAGAGGUGAAAUUCGUAGAUAUCGGGAGGAACAUCAGUGGCGAAGGCGGCCACCUGGACAUUUACUGACGCUGAGACGCGAAAGCGUGGGGAGCAAACAGG
This 253-nucleotide ribosomal RNA is filed under the name uncultured bacterium. Its description in RNAcentral is "partial 16S ribosomal RNA". It matches the Rfam family "Bacterial small subunit ribosomal RNA", at positions 524 to 776 of the family's 1533-position model. The record is from RNAcentral.